GAAAUUGAUUCAAGAGAUGAGAAAUCUUAUUUUGCAAACGGAGUGACGCUGAUUUGAGUACAGCCUGGGUGCAACCAGUGCGUGCGAGGUGACCUCCCAGCAGCAGGGCUGAAAUACAACAUUUUCCCUGCUGAAGACUUUUUCCCGCCCCAUUAUUGUUUAUGCACCCAGAAUUCGUGCAUUGUGAAAAGGAUUCAAAUCCUCUUCUAGUGAUGCACACCACUUAGCGAGAGAACCUAACGAUAAAUCAAAAGGUGGAGGCAAACGGAGAAUCCGAGCCAGGCGAGGCCAGGAGCAAAGACGGACCCACGACUAAGCCUUGUACCUCGAUGCCCCGGAUGGAGGUGGCUCAAGCCUGGCCCCAGCCCUCCCACACCCACAGAGAAAGAGAGAGACACAAAGACUCAAGUAAGAUUGGCGCCAAUCGGAUCCCGGAAGGGCCUGAGCCGUACAUUCUGAAAUAGCUCUUCACAUCAUUCUGGUGUGAUUCCUCAGAAAGACCUGAAUUCCUAAAACUCUUCCUUGGCUUCUCUGCCAGCCUGCCCGCCCCUCCUGCAAUGGCGCUGAAGCCGCAUCCCGAUGCAUAAAAAGGACAGGAAAAGCUUUUGGAGAAUCCAGGAAGACAGCCCUCCUCCAAAUGGUGAGUCAGGAUGGAAUCUAGACGGAUUCAUGGUUUCAGGGUGCUUCACCUACAUCCUUCUUCAGACAGUGCUGUGCUUUCCAGCAAGAGAAGAAGACCAUAGGAGAGGAAAAAGAAGAUGAAGGCCAAUGUACCUGGUGACACUGCAGAUGGGAGCAGAACGCCACCUUAGAAGAGAGAUCACACCUUCAUCAGCAUGCAUGAUUUUUAUCAGGCCCAUGCCCUGGCAUGUUGGAAAGUUCAUAAGCCAAACCCUGAGGUGUAAAGAUAACUUGGACAGUAAAAUAAGUGACAACAAAUAUCAAGUGAUGUCAUUAAUUCAGAGGACGUGAAGGCUUGGAGGUGGGGUGAAAGGUAAAAUUUGUUUUGAACUGGCCUCUCAUAUGUUGUACUACCAGCCAGUUUCUGGUUUUAUAAAAGGAAAUGAGAAUAAUUAGAAAGAGGAAAUAAAAAGUUAAAAACCACAGAACAGUGUCAAAAACAAUUUGACUAAAAAACCAGUAAAAUAGAACAGUCUGUGUUGACUCAUAAUAAAUAUCCAC
Molecule: long non-coding RNA, 1182 nt
Filed under: Fukomys damarensis (Damara mole-rat)
Lineage: Eukaryota; Metazoa; Chordata; Mammalia; Rodentia; Bathyergidae
Description: lncRNA (ENSFDAG00000023991.1)
Source: RNAcentral